This 29-nucleotide small RNA is filed under the name Bombyx mori (domestic silkworm). Its description in RNAcentral is "ovarian small RNA-30355". Lineage: Eukaryota; Metazoa; Arthropoda; Insecta; Lepidoptera; Bombycidae. The record is from RNAcentral.
UGAAAAGUCAUGUAUAUGACGAAUAGGGU